Long non-coding RNA from Phyllostomus discolor (pale spear-nosed bat), 440 nucleotides. RefSeq lists it as uncharacterized. The record is from RefSeq and is a predicted model, not a curated record. The transcript has 2 exons. NCBI's taxonomy places the organism in Eukaryota, Metazoa, Chordata, Mammalia, Chiroptera, Phyllostomidae.
CAUCUUACAGAUGAAGAAGAUGAGGAGAAGGGAGAUUAAUUCCCUUGCCCAAGUUCAUACAUCUAUUCAGUGGACAAGCAGGGACUGGAACCCUGGUCCAUCUGCCUCAAAAGCCUGUGUUCCUACCCUCAUAUUACACUAGAAAAGGAAGGGGUGAUGCAGAAUGGAGUGUGUUUCCACCCUUUUUAAAUAGCUUGGACUCCCAAUUUGAUGUGACUAACUGAGCCUAUGACUGAAAGCACAGAGAGAAAAGAGAAACCAAAAAAGAAACUGGUCCAGACAAUAAUACAUUUCCUCCCAAAGUGUCUCCAGCCCUGGUUCAAACAAUGAGAAGCCUUAAUCUCAAUACUUCAGUAUUGAAGAACAAUGGGAACUUAUUAAAACUGGUUAUGUAUAAAGCCUGACUUCUUAAAAGAAGUUAUCAAGACUAAGAAUUUUUU